Molecule: ribosomal RNA, 468 nt
Filed under: uncultured bacterium
Lineage: Bacteria
Description: partial 16S ribosomal RNA
Rfam family: Bacterial small subunit ribosomal RNA
Source: RNAcentral
GACGAACGCUGGCGGCGUGCUUAACACAUGCAAGUCGAACGGAAAGGCCCUGCUUUUGUGGGGUGCUCGAGUGGCGAACGGGUGAGUAACACGUGAGUAACCUGCCCUUGACUUUGGGAUAACUUCAGGAAACUGGGGCUAAUACCGGAUAGGAGCUCCUGCUGCAUGGUGGGGGUUGGAAAGUUUCGGCGGUUGGGGAUGGACUCGCGGCUUAUCAGCUUGUUGGUGGGGUAGUGGCUUACCAAGGCUUUGACGGGUAGCCGGCCUGAGAGGGUGACCGGCCACAGUGGGACUGAGAUGCGGCCCGGACUCCGACGGGAGGCAGCAGGGGGGAAUAUUGCACAAUGGGCGGAAGCCUGAUGCAGCAACGCCGCGUGCGGGAUGACGGCCUUCGGGUUGUAAACCGCGUUCGCCUGUGACGAAGCGUGAGUGACGGGAAUGGGUAAAGAAGCACCGGCUAACUACGUG